AUCUGAACUGAGUGGCAAAACAUAGGGAAUGGGACAUCAGGAGGGCCAGUCUCAGUUUUAAUGCUAUGACCCUGGGCAAAUUACCUGUCUGCCCCUGUUUUAUCACACCACACACUUUGUCUUGUCUGUCCAGACUCUAGCUGCUUUGGGACAGACACCAUCUCUCAAAAUGUGUUAGUAAUUCUCCUUGGAGGGCACUGGAGAACAAAAUAAGUGCUUAGUAUAUCAUCAAAAUAUUUAGUAAAUAAUAGGCAAUUGUGAGUCACUGCCCUGUAACUCCAUGUCUGGCUCUUGGUUUGUUGAAGAACAGCUAUGAAUCAGCUUUGGUCUGCAGGGUACUUGGAAAGCACCCAGCACGCGGACAGCUUCGUCUGUGAAUGCCUUUUUUUUUACAGGAUAAUCUGGUUCUGCGAUAGCACAGGGGAGUUUUGGCUGAUACAGUGACAUCAGGCUCAGCGCUCCUACCCCACACAAAGAAGAGUUCAUUCUGCUGGGGGUUGCCCUUCUCUUCCCAGCCCUUCCACCCCUGCACCUUUGGCUGCUGGAUGAUGCUCUUGUCAGCCCAGUGAAAAUUCUUGUGCAAUCCUGACAAAUGAACACCACAAGAAGUUGGAUCUGGAAAGACCAUAGAGCACGGGAUAAAUCGCCAGCUGGGUCUCUCUCUGCCCACUGUAAAAUGAGCACAGAGGACCAGCGAGAGUAAGUGGAUAACUCUCAGAUGGCUGAAAUUGCGUCAGAGAUUUGCACCCAUAGCGACCAGAAGAAAAACGAGUCAGGUGAACAGAGGAUUGUAAGAAAGGAAAAAAGAAAGCACAGCCUUGGCUAUCAUAAAGUCUAUGUGACAUUGAGCAACAGCUUCAGCUGUUAUCGCCUGCCUUCACACACUCCGAGGCCAGAUGGCUGAAGAGAAGGCGUUCAGCCACCAGUCGGUGGGCACUACAGGACUUUCCCAUCAAUCCAGAGAAAGACAAUUCAUUUUUCCCUUUCUGGUAUCAUUCAGACUGCUGUGUGAUGGGAGACUCAAGGGUAACCAACAGCUAAUCCUUGCAGAGCUGGCAGCUCUGGGCAGUAGUCAUAGCUGGAGGGAGGAUACCAAAGACUUUAUGGGGAAAAUUCCCUCUGAUUGCAAAGGGCCAGAGUAAGUGGGGAGAGGUUACUUCUUAUUUUGGGGUAGUCCCUUGGGAUAGUCCAGAUGUGCUCCAUCAUGUCUGGUGGGGCACAUCAAGUGAACAAAUAGUCUUUCAAGUGGAACCUUUGUCCUCCAAGGUAACUUUAAUGGGUUUUCACUAUUCCAUUAUUUCCCAUUGGUGGGUUUCCAUAUGGUUGCUGAAGAUCAUCAGGGAGUUGCACCAUCUGAAAGGGUAUUGUACCAAAGGUUCAACAUGUAGACCCAUAUUCAAGCCUGGAAGACUAAGAAACCAGACUCAUAGGUACAUGUGGCAAACAUAAGUGAGAUGGACAUGACUUAACACUUUGCCAAUAAAAAAGAAAACCCCCCAUCAGCAUUAUGACUUACCAUCUUUCAUAAUGCAAUGAAACUGGAAGAUAAAUAGGGAACUUAGAAACCUCUAAUAGCUUUUAAAGAACGUGGUAUAGCUGCAGUCAAACAAAUGUGCCCGGGUUUUGAUGUUCUAAUAUAUUUUGUCAUUUCUUUUCUGGAAGAGAAAGGAGAAAGCAAUGAAAAUUAGGUUUUGUUUUCCAUUGUUUGUCCCAGCUCCAGCAGUAUGUGCAGAAGAUUGGGUACAUUGAGAUAGCCCUUGAAUAAUGUUGCGAAGGUGGACAGAGAUUAAGAAGAAAAGCAUCCAGUUUGGAGUCAGACAGUAUAAAGAAAUGAAAAUAAAAUUCAGGUCGAAAUGCA
Gallus gallus (chicken) is the source of this 1858-nucleotide long non-coding RNA. The record is from Ensembl. Lineage: Eukaryota; Metazoa; Chordata; Aves; Galliformes; Phasianidae.